This 1400-nucleotide ribosomal RNA is filed under the name Lysinibacillus sp. RNAcentral describes it as "bacterial SSU rRNA". It matches the Rfam family "Bacterial small subunit ribosomal RNA", at positions 93 to 1417 of the family's 1533-position model. Lineage: Bacteria; Bacillati; Bacillota; Bacilli; Caryophanales; Bacillaceae. The record is from RNAcentral.
UAGCGGCGGACGGCUGCAGUAACACGUGGGCACCUACCCUAUAGUUUGGGAUAACUCCGGGAAACCGGGGCUAAUACCGAAUAAUCUCUUUUGCUUCAUGGUGAAAGACUGAAAGACGGCAUCUCGCUGUCGCUAUAGGAUGGGCCCGCGGCGCAUUAGCUAGUUGGUGAGGUAACGGCUCACCAAGGCGACGAUGCGUAGCCGACCUGAGAGGGUGAUCGGCCACACUGGGACUGAGACACGGCCCAGACUCCUACGGGAGGCAGCAGUAGGGAAUCUUCCACAAUGGGCGAAAGCCUGAUGGAGCAACGCCGCGUGAGUGAAGAAGGUUUUCGGAUCGUAAAACUCUGUUGUAAGGGAAGAACAAGUACAGUAGUAACUGGCUGUACCUUGACGGUACCUUAUUAGAAAGCCACGGCUAACUACGUGCCAGCAGCCGCGGUAAUACGUAGGUGGCAAGCGUUGUCCGGAAUUAUUGGGCGUAAAAGCGCGCGCAGGCGGUCCUUUAAGUCUGAUGUGAAAGCCCACGGCUCAACCGUGGAGGGUCAUUGGAAACUGGGGGACUUGAGUGCAGAAGAGGAAAGUGGAAUUCCAAGUGUAGCGGAUGAAAUGCGUAGAGAUUUGGAGGAACACCAGUGGCGAAGGCGACUUUCUGGUCUGUAACUGACGCAUGAGGCGCGAAAGCGUGGGGAGCAAACAGGAUGUAGAUACCCCUGGGUAGUCCACGCCGUAAAACGAUGAGUGCUAAGUGUUAAGGGGGUUUUCCGCCCCCAUUAGUGCUGCAGCAUAACGCAUUUAAGCACUCCGGCCUGGGGGAAGUACGGGUCGCAAGACUUGGAAACUCCAAAGGGAAUUGGACGGGGCGGCCGCUCGCACAAAGCGGUGGGAACCAAUGUGGUUUUAAUUUCCGAAAGCAACGGCGAAAGAAAUCCUUUUACCGAGGGUUCUGUGACAUCCCCCGGAUGAACCCACUGGUGAGAAGGAUAUAUAGGUUUCCCCCCUUUCGGGGGCAACGGUGACAGGUGGUGCAUGGUUGUCGUCAGCUCGUGUCGUGAGAUGUUGGGUUAAGUCCCGCAACGAGCGCAACCCUUGAUCUUAGUUGCCAUCAUUUAGUUGGGCACUCUAAGGUGACUGCCGGUGACAAACCGGAGGAAGGUGGGGAUGACGUCAAAUCAUCAUGCCCCUUAUGACCUGGGCUACACACGUGCUACAAUGGACGAUACAAACGGUUGCCAACUCGCGAGAGGGAGCUAAUCCGAUAAAGUCGUUCUCAGUUCGGAUUGUAGGCUGCAACUCGCCUACAUGAAGCCGGAAUCGCUAGUAAUCGCGGAUCAGCAUGCCGCGGUGAAUACGUUCCCGGGCCUUGUACACACCGCCCGUCACAUCACGAGAGUAUUAUA